UUGCGCAGUUCAAUGUGUUUAUGUUUAUUUUUUUUUAAGGUAAACAAAUUCAUUCAAUGGUCGCCCAUCUGGAUGCGGUCACGUGUCUAUCUGUAGAUAGUCCUGGACUAUAUCUAUUAUCUGGCAGUAAGUAUAGUCGUUGGCACCUGAGCAUGAACAGUGCAGAUAAAAACAUUGUCUAUUCUCACACUCAGCUCGGAGCUGCUGCAGCCAUCCGCCACAAUCUUAACAUUUAUUUGCCAACACUGCUAAUAAUUGGUUACAACAUCAUAGUUCAUACUAUCUUAAAUACAGAUCCUAUUUCCAGAUCUUGAAAGAUUAAUUUAUCUGAUGAUACUUUUAAAAAUUAUACAACCACAUACUUGGGUGGGCAGGUCGGAAAAAGGUCAACAAAUGGCGGAAGCAAAAACAAAAUGUGCUUUCCUAACCCGCAGCGCCCGAUUAUAUAAUGAGGCUCCUCCCCCCCAGCAGUGUAUGAAGAACAUUCUCUGCUUCUUUCAUUCAUCGGCCAACAGAAAAUUACACAUAUUCUCACGUGAAACUUGGUAUAGCUACAUCAGAGCUACAUAUAAGAUAACACUAAGCUGCUCCAUAUACUACUAUUCGGAGAACUCCAAAUUUUCGGAACACUAAUACUGUCACAUGACUGUUGAGUAGGGUAUGCCAGAACAGACAUGUCACUUAUGUGAGCAUGUUUGGUUCGAUUCGAUUACACGCGUUUUAAAAAACGCACAGCUUGUAACAAGUCUGUAAACAAGUUGUUACAAGUCUGUUCACUAGCUGUGACUAAGCUGUCGACAAGUUGUGUUCGCACUGCUUGUUCCCAGUUUGUUGUAACAAGUUUGGAACAAGCUGUUAACAACCUGCAACAAGCUUGAUGGCAUUAUCAGCCUUGUUACAAGACUGUACCAACAAGUUUGUUACAGCCAUGAUAUAACAAGGAUGUUACAAGGUUGUCAACACAAGGUUGUAACAAUCUUGUUAUAUGCAUGUAACGAACUUGUCAUAAUUUGGAUAAUGGAUAAUUUCAACAAGGUUGUUACAUGUUGUCAACAAGUUGUUCCAAACCUGUUGACAACUUGUGAUAAGCAGUGCGAAUACAUCUUGUUGGCAGACUUGUUACAAGAUGUGAGAUUUUUAUGUGUGCUACUUCCAAAAAUUUGGAGUUCUCCGAAAAGUAGUAUAUGGAGCAAUCUUGAACUGUCUUUGCCAGUGUAGGUAGUGCCAAUAAUAUGAACAAGCUUUCGUUGGUAGGGACAUCCCUAUACCAACGAAAACUUGAGUAUAUGGAGCAGCCUGACUAAAUGAGUGUUUGUCCAAUUCAGGUCACGACUGUUCAAUUCGUCUUUGGAAUCUCGAAACGAGAACUUGUGUCCAGGAAAUAACCUCACAUCGUAAGAAAUUCGACGAAUCCAUCUACGACGUCGCGUUUCACCCGAGGAAGGCGUUCAUAGCGAGCGCAGGCGCAGAUGGUUUAGCGAAAGUAUUCCUCUGACCCACGUGACCUAACCAUCCCCAUAUACCCCUGUAGCAUAUCCCCGUAGAACCCACAACGUCCCGCAUGCACCCGUAAAGUACCAAACGGAGUCGUAACAUCUCUGGCUGUGCUCUAGUUGUCAUGGUCGUGAACAGAUAUCCGGUAUUUAUUUUCGUGUCGUAUAUAUGAUGUUUUAGCGAAGAUAGGCGUUUAUAGUGCACCUAACCUCAAUUCCUUUUAUCAUCUCACUCGUAAGAACUUUUGAAAUGAUAUCAAGUAACUUAUUUUGAAAAUUUUUGUUUCCUCAGUUAUUUCUGAGAUAUUCCAGUUUUACUUCACACAUGAAUGACUUACCAAAGACUGUAAAGCCUGGUUCAUACUAUCAAAGUUUCUGUGAUCACAGUAGGAAUUUUGCGUAGGUAAAUUCUAGGUUUUGAAGGAUUUGUAAGAAAUGUUUGGUGGAACUGACCCACUGUUUAACACUGAGUCAGUCCCUUUAACAUUUCUUACAAAUCCUUCAAUUUCUUACCUAAAUUGUGUUUGACAUAUGUAUGCCAUCCUCCCACAACUCCAAACUUCUUCAUUUUAAUGAAUUAGAACUCGAUAAUGAAUAAGAUACACAAGCUUUUACUUAUUGUCAUUAUGCAUAUAUGACGUAAGUUCGGAUAUUUGCAUACCAAACAAAUUACAAGUAUCUCAGAAACAAAGUGAGUAAACGGAAAUCUUCAAAAUAAGUUCCAUAUAAUUUCAAAAGUUCUUAAGAAUGAGAUGGUAAAGAGAAUUGAGGUUAGGUGCAUUUCUGAAAUUGACCACUAUCGGCCGUAACGGUUACCAAAGCCAACCUACAGGAGCAUUGUGAGCGUGAUAGGGAAAUAUACUCGACUUCAAUGUCAAGUAUAAACCCAUACUACUGGAAUGAAUAUAACUGGAACGCUACCUCCAACCGGAAAUUUGAAGCCAAACUAGAAGGGUAGUCCCAAUCUUUUCACGCAUGCGAAGAGCGCGGUCAAUCCGUCAAUAUGAAUGUGAUAUGUCUUUUUUCUGUGUUGGUGUUAUGUACUCAGGUGAGUAUGAUGUGUGUGAUGUUACUCUGAGUGUAUAUCCACACCGGCCAAGCUUGAAAAAUAUGCCUGGCCGAGUGGCCGGGCAUAUUUUUCAAGCUUGUCCGGUGUGGAUAUACACUCGGAGUAACAUCACAAACAUGAUAUUAUUCUUGAAAACCGGCUUAAAAUCCACAAAAAAGCGUUUUUAAAAGGGCUCAAAGCUUUCUAUUAAUGCAUUUAUCAGGUCAGAACUCCUAGUAGACUUUACUUUUAGUUUUUUCUUAUUUUUUCUAAUAAUAGCCGCGUGCUCGCUUCCUGAACUGAUCUCGCGAGAGAAUCGCGAGGCAUAAACACGCGGAUCUUCGGUCUCGCGACAGAAUCUCGAGACAUAAACACGCGGGUCAGAUUUGGCUUCAAGAAACAGAUAGGCAGUUUAUCUGGUUUAUCCGAAGUUAGCGUUCAGUUAUAUUCAUUUCACUGACCCAUACCAACUAUUUGACUAAAACAUUGACGCAAGUUUUGGCGGAAGUGUUAAUCGCCAUGUGUUCAUAAUAAUUCAACAAUAAUCCGAAUAACACCAUGAUGAGAACACAGUCAGCAGUUUGAGCUAUAAUUUAUUAUGUACAAUGAUAUAAAUACUGAAAUCAAUAUGUGUGUACACUAGAUACACAUUGGGGAACAGUUUCAUAAUAUUAUACUUAUAUUAUGCUCAACAAAAUUGGCCCCUUCAAUGAUCCUGUGUAGACUAAAUUUUAGUUAAUAUUUCCAUGGCUGUCAUUAGCCGACUGUAAACAGUAAUUAGGUAAUCUUUAGAUUAAAGUCAUGAAUAACAUGCAUAUUGUAGCACUAUAGUAAUUCGUAUUCUAAAGUCUUCAAGCAGCA
Molecule: long non-coding RNA, 3402 nt
Filed under: Paramuricea clavata
Lineage: Eukaryota; Metazoa; Cnidaria; Anthozoa; Malacalcyonacea; Plexauridae
Source: RNAcentral